UUCCUCUCUACUCGGUUACAUAGUUUAUGAGGACCUUGGAGGACAAACAGAAACGUCCUGUCCUUUGGCCGCUUCGUUUCUUGUUUAAAUGUCUGCAUUUGUAAUAGUCACUAUGUCUAGCAACUAUAAUGAACCUCAUAAAUGUCAUUACGCGUGAUGUUUACGCCGUACGAGGACCACGCGGUGUUUACUGACGCGAUGCAAGUAACAUAGUUGAAAAAUCAGUCCCAGCUGCAGAUAUCAAAAAGGAUUUUUAAACGGGAGGCAUUCUAGUUAAAAAGAGGAAGAUGGAGAAUUAUCGAUCCCUUAUCCCGAAGGUGUCCGCCGUAUGCAGAUGUCCCAAAGGUGCACCAGAGAAGGGUCCUGAGAGCAUCGGGGUGGUGGCCGAGCCCUACACCCACAUUGUUGGAGAAGAGCUCCAUCUUCAGGAGCCAGACUGGAGCAGAUACAAGAGCCCUCCAGCAUACGAACACAUGUGAACAUCCUUUAUGAGAUUACAGUCGAACCUCAGAUGCUGCCCAGCACACAGAGAUCAUAUCAUAUAUGGCAGACAUCCACCUUUGUCAUCUCACUGAGGCAAGUUUGUUCUCCUCUGUUAUUGUCAUCAGUGCAUUCUUGCCUUCAGUAAGUGCAUGUAUCGCUCUUAAAAGGGUAGUU
Long non-coding RNA from Sinocyclocheilus anshuiensis, 657 nucleotides. RefSeq lists it as uncharacterized. The record is from RefSeq and is a predicted model, not a curated record. NCBI's taxonomy places the organism in Eukaryota, Metazoa, Chordata, Actinopteri, Cypriniformes, Cyprinidae. The transcript has 3 exons.